RNAcentral lists this transfer RNA (75 nucleotides) under candidate division MSBL1 archaeon SCGC-AAA259E17. RNAcentral's name for it is "tRNA-Ile". It matches the Rfam family "tRNA". Rfam says of the family: Transfer RNA (tRNA) molecules are approximately 80 nucleotides in length. Their secondary structure includes four short double-helical elements and three loops (D, anti-codon, and T loops). Further hydrogen bonds mediate the characteristic L-shaped molecular structure. tRNAs have two regions of fundamental functional importance: the anti-codon, which is responsible for specific mRNA codon recognition, and the 3' end, to which the tRNAs corresponding amino acid is attached (by aminoacyl-tRNA synthetases). tRNAs cope with the degeneracy of the genetic code in two manners: having more than one tRNA (with a specific anti-codon) for a particular amino acid; and 'wobble' base-pairing, i.e. permitting non-standard base-pairing at the 3rd anti-codon position. The record is from RNAcentral. Lineage: Archaea; Methanobacteriati; Methanobacteriota.
GGGCCCGUAGCUUAGUGGUAGAGCGCUCGACCGAUAACCGGGAGGUCGUGGGUUCGAUACCCACCGGGCCCACCA